GCAUCGGUGGUUUAGUGGUAAAAUUAGCCGUUGCCAUCAUCUACUGAUCAAUUCGGCUAGCCCCGGGUUCGAUUCCCGGCCGAUGCA
Molecule: transfer RNA, 87 nt
Filed under: Ampelomyces quisqualis
Lineage: Eukaryota; Fungi; Ascomycota; Dothideomycetes; Pleosporales; Phaeosphaeriaceae
Description: tRNA-Gly
Rfam family: tRNA
About the family: Transfer RNA (tRNA) molecules are approximately 80 nucleotides in length. Their secondary structure includes four short double-helical elements and three loops (D, anti-codon, and T loops).
Source: RNAcentral